AUUGAACGCUGGCGGCAGGCUUAACACAUGCAAGUCGAGCGGGGGGAGGUAGCUUGCUACCGGACCUAGCGGCGGACGGGUGAGUAAUGCUUAGGAAUCUGCCUAUUAGUGGGGGACAACAUCUCGAAAGGGAUGCUAAUACCGCAUACGCCCUACGGGAGAAAGAAGGGGAUCUUCGGACCUUGCGCUAAUAGAUGAGCCUAAGUCGGAUUAGCUAGUUGGUGGGGUAAAGGCCUACCAAGGCGACGAUCUGUAGCGGGUCUGAGAGGAUGAUCCGCCACACUGGGACUGAGACACGGCCCAGACUCCUACGGGAGGCAGCAGUGGGGAAUAUUGGACAAUGGGGGGAACCCUGAUCCAGCCAUGCCGCGUGUGUGAAGAAGGCCUUAUGGUUGUAAAGCACUUUAAGCGAGGAGGAGGCUACUUUAGUUAAUACCUAGAGAUAGUGGACGUUACUCGCAGAAUAAGCACCGGCUAACUCUGUGCCAGCCGCCGCCGUAA
RNAcentral lists this ribosomal RNA (501 nucleotides) under uncultured bacterium. RNAcentral's name for it is "partial 16S ribosomal RNA". It matches the Rfam family "Bacterial small subunit ribosomal RNA", at positions 30 to 523 of the family's 1533-position model. The record is from RNAcentral.